Molecule: non-coding RNA, 403 nt
Organism: Arachis ipaensis
Lineage: Eukaryota; Viridiplantae; Streptophyta; Magnoliopsida; Fabales; Fabaceae
Source: RefSeq, a predicted model, not a curated record
AAAUUUGCACCUUAUUAUAUUUGGGUAGGAAUCCUAAGGUUUUAAUAACGUAGGGCUGAAUUCGAGUUAUGGCAUGUCACGGCUAGAGUUGUUUUUGCUAUUACGAGUAGUUGGAGCUGAGGCUGCCUCUGCCACCGGAGAACGCUCUGUCGAUGACCCACCGGAGCUUCUGGCCGUCGCCGGAGCUGUUGCCGGGCCGAUUCGAAAUCACAGCUGUUCCGUUUUGUUAAUUCGAGCUGUUUAUGCUGCUGUGAAAAUGUGUGGGGCUGUGCUUAGGAACUGCCAUUGGUUUUGACUCGAGACGAAUGGAUUUCUGAGAGGCGUUUGGAGUAUAGUUCCAAUUUGUCGAGGAUUUGGGCGCAGAAGUUAUGAAGAGCUUAUUUAAUUGUUGUUGUGAUGCUCU